CACGUAGGGUGCGAGCGUUGUCCGGAAUUAUUGGGCGUAAAGGGCGUGUAGGCGGUCAGGUAAGUGGGAUGUGAAAUGCCCCGGCUCACCCGGGGACCGGCAUCCCAUACUGCUUGGCUUGAGUACGGGAGAGGAUGUGGGAAUUCCUGGUGUAGCGGUGAAAUGCGUAGAUAUCAGGAGGAACACCGGUGGCGAAGGCGCACAUCUGGCCCGAUACUGACGCUGAGGCGCGAAAGCUAGGGGAGCAAACGGG
This 253-nucleotide ribosomal RNA is filed under the name uncultured bacterium. RNAcentral describes it as "partial 16S ribosomal RNA". It matches the Rfam family "Bacterial small subunit ribosomal RNA", at positions 524 to 776 of the family's 1533-position model. The record is from RNAcentral.